Molecule: long non-coding RNA, 502 nt
Organism: Culex pipiens pallens (northern house mosquito)
Lineage: Eukaryota; Metazoa; Arthropoda; Insecta; Diptera; Culicidae
Exons: 2
Source: RefSeq, a predicted model, not a curated record
CUCGAACAUUUCCAGUUAGAUACUGCUCGUCGUUCUUCUAGGAGGUUUCUCACACAAUAAGAUAAUGUUGAAAUUCAAAAUAAUCUUUGGGUUUUUAUUCGCUACAAUAAUUUACUCCCAGGCAUUUUUAACGAAACCACAACUGACGAAGCUUCACACCGAUUUUGAAAAAUGUGAUGCCGAAUUAAACGUUUCAUCUAGCCUGCACUUUGAGGAGCAUGCCGAACACCUGGAUUCAAUUCCAAACAGUUCGAUUUUUUUCAAGGUGCUCAUUUGCGUGUACAAGCGGGUAAACUUUGUGGAUAGCAACGGAAAUAUUAUCGUGCAAAAUAUGUUGGAUUUUUUGCGCGAGGAGCACAACGUGACGGAAAUGAAAACUUUUAUUGAAAAAUGCCUGCCACACACAGGGACUCCCGAAGAGAAGAUGCGCUUUUUUUACACGUGUGCUUCCAAAAAACGCGCUGAAGUUUUGAAAUAAUACAUAGAUACUUUUAGAACGAAA